Molecule: long non-coding RNA, 176 nt
Organism: Perognathus longimembris pacificus (Pacific pocket mouse)
Lineage: Eukaryota; Metazoa; Chordata; Mammalia; Rodentia; Heteromyidae
Exons: 3
Source: RefSeq, a predicted model, not a curated record
UAUGAAGGUUUAGAGUCAUAAGUAAGACUGUCCUAUAGACACAUGAAGAUAUGUUUAUCAUCUCUGGCCAUAAAAGAAAUGCAAAUCAAAACAGCAUUGAGAUUCCACCUCACCCAAUUAGAAUGGCCAUUAUCAAGAAAUGUAACAAUAAUAGAUGCUGGCAGUGAUGUGGCCAA